Molecule: long non-coding RNA, 2491 nt
Filed under: Mus musculus (house mouse)
Lineage: Eukaryota; Metazoa; Chordata; Mammalia; Rodentia; Muridae
Description: long non-coding RNA chr5:92895066-92897557
Source: RNAcentral
ACCAGUCAUCUUUUUUGUUUGAUAAAGAUACUUAUUCUCACAAGUUUGUCCUUUCUGGUAAGAACUUAACAACUGCACUAGGAAAAUAAGCUUCACAUGGACUAGGAGCUAGGCCUUCUUCUUCUUUUUUUUUUUUUUUAAUAAAUUUUACUUUGGUUAUUUGGGUUGGGUUAUCUGUGCCACAGCCUACAUUCAGAGGUCAGAGGUCAGGGUUGGUUCUCCCCUUCCACCUUUGGGGAUUGAACCCAGGUUGUCCAAUCUGCACAGCGAGAACUUUACCCAUUAAACCAUCUAUCUCACAGGGACCCUGCCUCCCACAUCACUUUAGACCCUCAGAUAGCCUACCAUGAUUUGAUGUGAUUGGACAUAUUUUGUUAUCAGACAUAUUUUAUUUACCUCCCACUGAAAGUUAGGGUUUGUAGGUGGAAAUAUUUGAGAUGGCAGAAAGUGACCUGACCUGUCACUGCCUGAAGUGGCUGGACUGGCAGCCAUGAGCCUACUUAACUCACAACUCCUGCCCUCUCAGCACAUUUAGGGACCUGGUGCUCCCCACUUCUGGAUGGGGAGUUAUCUCAGCUUUUCUGGUCUUUUAAAAUCUAUUCCAAUAUUGAAGACUUUGGGGAGGGAAGAAUGCAAAUAGUGUGCGUUGUUUGUUUGUUUUACAUUUCAACACAUGUGAAUUUUAUCUCUAUUAAUAUAUUUUAAAAACUGUGCAAAUAGCAGUUUGUACACUAGACUUUCUUAGGACUGGCUGUCUUGUCUUUUUCUUAUAAGAUAAGACAUAUAAAUUUCUUAUAAAAAUUUCUCAUCAAAUACUGUAACUUUCUCAAGCUGUAAAAUUUCUUCAUUAAUAUUCUUUUCAAUAACAGGCUUGGAAUUCAGAUGUAAAACCUACUUUCUAUAGGCAGUUUUAAUACAGAUGCUGAAGCUAGUAUGACUUUACGAGAACAUCUCUAGUAAGGGACCUGGGAAUCGCACAUGCGCACAGUGGAGCAUGACCUGGGAUUCGCACAUGCGCACAGUGGGCACUGAUCGUGCUCACUUGCUCCCUUUGCUUGGAGGGCAGAUGCAGACCACUGUAGGUUGGAGGCAUCUAUUCCGAGAACUUGCCCUCAGUGUAUGCAGAGAGACACUGACGUGAUUCUGUAUUUUGGCCUGGAUUUCAUCAUUUCAUGUCUCACCUUGGGUCCCAUGAGACAGGUUGAUUUCCUUCCGGCUCUAAAAAUACCGGGUGUCUCUAAACUGCAGGCAGAAGUAUUGUUCAAGGAACCCUCUGGUCAUAGAGAUGAAUUACAUGGUGCAGUACAGGCUGAAUGGGUGGUAAUAUUUGAACUCAAAGUGCAUUUUGAAUUGUCGAUUUAAAGUGAUGUUUCACACAGGCAUAAGUUCUGUUCCACCCUUAGCCAGGCAUAGAGGGGCAGGACUAAAGUCUCCGCGCUGGGGAGGCAGACACAAUCGGAACUCUGAGUCUGAGGCCAACCAUGAUUUAGAGUGAGUUCCUGGACAGACAGGGCUACAAAAGAAACCCUGUCUCAAAAAACCAAAACCAAAACCAAACCAAACCAAAAACUAAAAGGGAGAGUUUCCCAGACCUUGAGGAUGUAGAAACAAGAUAUGGUCUAAGCUUUCCCCCAACAUGGUGGCACCAAGCAGCAUGCUCUGUUAACUGUAAGGACUAUCUAUCUAUUCUUCAAGCUUAAGUUCCUAGAGGCCCCUUUCUAACACUGGAUUCCCUUAGGUCAUUAGAACACAAAACAGCAACAUCAGCUGCCUGCCUCUGAUGCCUAGCAACAGUGUGGCUACCCUGUGACCAUGUGGUAAUAACUGCUUGUGAUACCACAUGUAGAAGAAAAUACUGGUUUAGCAGAGAUAAUGCCUUUGGAGUUGGGGGAGCCUGUCUGUGGCUUCAGUAGUGGUCUGUGGCUGCUAGUGCCCCUGUGGCUCCCAAGGGUACAAACAAUUCAGCCAAGUAUAGGCAAAUGGUACCAGCUGCCUCCUACCUAAUUAGGUCUACAGAUGUAUUGCUAGAGAUAUGGAACCUGGAAAUUGAGCAAUAGGGACUCUGCUUGAGCAAAAAAUAAAGCCAAUUUUAAACUGUACUUGUUAUGAUAAUCUCUGGAGGAGACAUGCGAAAGCAAUUAAAAGUAGUUUCUGAGGGGGGAAAAAAUCUUAGCUUCCAUUGAAAAAGGCUGAGGCAAGCUUUUGAAGAGAGAGGAAAUUGAAAGUAACACCAGGCUUUCCUUAAGCUUAACUGAGCAACAUGCCAUGGGUGCAGCACCAGUAGAAAUGUAUAUUAUGUUUAAAAGCCCAAAAUGUGGAAAGCCAAAACAUACCUCUCUUGAACAUAUGGAUGAAAUAACCUUCCCUUGGUCUGAGAUGAUGCUCAAGGAAACUAAAAGGGACUUGGGCGGGGGUGGGGCAGCAGCUGGACCCCAUCACAGACAACCUGAAUGUGUCUGGUUGACCCGCUGAAAAGAAGACCCACUGAGGG